Homo sapiens (human) is the source of this 1846-nucleotide long non-coding RNA. Ensembl annotates it as MIR646 host gene. Its record names the gene MIR646HG. The record is from Ensembl. Lineage: Eukaryota; Metazoa; Chordata; Mammalia; Primates; Hominidae.
GAGGCCCGAUGCCGUAUCCUGCCGCCCGUUUUACCCGCGGGAAAGCCGAGGCCCGGUGCUGUAUUCUGCCGCCCAUUUUACCCGCGGGGAAGCUGAGGCCCAGUGCUGUUUAAUAUCUUACUCAUGUUCACUUGAUGAGAAAGUGACAGAUCUGAGACAAACCCAGUUCUAGAGGUUAUGACACCAGCCAUGGAAGAGCAGAGAGGCCAAUGAGGUGGGGAGGUUGGAAACAAAAGGCCUUCUCCACCCCAGCUUGACCAACCCAAAAGCUGGAAGGCAAGGAAGACCUAGGAUCUGGCCAUUGAGUCACUGAGAGACCGUGGAGUCUUCAUAGACCAAGACCAUUCUCUUCAUCAAAGUCUCCCUAUUCCUGUUGUUUGAGAUUCCAAAUACGAUUUCUGUGGAGAAAACAAAAAAGGACUCUGUUUUUAAUUCAAAAGGGAGAAGUGAAAUUCUACCUCACUUUUUUAAAAGAAGAGCCUGGAAUUGGCCUAUCCGUCUUUUUCCCCGUUGGAUCACAGAGCAGAAAGGAAGGUGGGCGUUUGUGUUCUGGGUGUUGUCCACGCUGGACGUGCCAGCAUCUCCCACUGAGCCAGAUGUUCCAGGGCUAAGGCCAGUUUCAUUUGAAGGCACAGCCUUACUAUAUCAUAUUAAUCUGAUGCCAAGUUUUUGGAUGUUAUGAGCAACCACCUCAUUUAUUUUUUGUGGUUGUUUAACCACAAUGAGUAAGAUUCUGUUCCUGUGCAGCGUGGAAGGCUGCCAGGAAAGGUGUGAGAGGGUGAGAUUGUUUUUGAAAAUCAUCUGUCGCAGCUUCUAAGAGCAUUUUGGUGCUGUUUGUUUUCAUUAUGCUGUUGGAGGUGAGAAAACUGUGAUGCGGUCGACUGGCACCUAGCAUUGCCCCCAUCUGGAACAUCUGCAGCCUAGAUCUGUUCUGAUGAAGUAGAAGCCGCAGAUCUUAUCCUGAAACAGGCCAGGUGCAAGUGUCCUCUUAGAAGGGAUCAACCAUGGGAUGCGGCAUUAAGAGAAGAGAGAAGGACAUCCUUACAACUGUGCCUUUCUUUCAACUCAGUCGUGCGCAUUAGGCUUGUAUCAGUUAAAGUGCAGGCAAGAAAUUUCAAGCAGAAAGGGAGUCAGGUGCUCAUAGCAUUGCUGGCAGAAUUGAGAGCAGCGGGAGCCAUGGGAUGGGGGUGCUGCCUGGAAAUCAGGAAACUGGAGAAGCCUGCUGGAACCUGCUGAGGAACCCAUCACUGCAGCAAGAGACUGAUGGUGGACUGCAGGGGCCAGGAAGGUGCAGGAAGCCCCUGCUGCUGCAGGAGAAAGGAUGAAGGAUGGUUAUCUUCCACCUUCCAAAUCUCACAGGAACACCUCUUCUAGGUGGAAUCCAAACCAGAUUCCUUCUGGAAAGGGAUUCUGGAAAGUGUAGUUCUUAUGCUUCCAGCCUCUGAGAUAAGCAAGGACAAUUGCUGGAGGCGAGGGUGUCGCUGAAUACCAAGGAAGGAUAGCAGGUGUAGUUGCCCACAUGGCCACUCAGCAUCCACAUGGACAUCCCACCCAUGUUAAUUUCCAAAGAGCCAUCACAGAAACAUCAUCAUGCUUCCUCACAAAGAAGAAAUGCUCACCUCCACCCCAAUAGAAAGGGUCCAGGUAUCCAUCUCUGAGUGAUGGUCACCCUCCAUAUUCAGUAAAAAACACCCUCGGAUAGACUGUGGUUGAAAGACUAAACCUUUAGGUUAGCCACAGUCAAUAUAUCUUAUAUAAAAUAAGAGAGGCGGGGAGAGCAGGGGAAAGAGAUACUGGGUUAUGUGUGUAAAAACAUACACAAUAAAGCAAACAAGAAACGCUGUGU